AAAGGGAACAAAGCUACUCUCAAUCAGUGAGUUGGAUAUGGUGAAACUACCAGGUCGGCCGGCAGCAUAGUCCGAAGACGCAAAGCGGAGCGGAAUUUCCGUGACAGGACGGUCGAUGGAGAGGUCAUCAGGAGAGCCGUUGGGCCAGGUAAAGUGACGCGACGCGGAUGCACGUAGUGACGAGGCGCGCCUACCGCACUGAUCUGAUAUAAGAGGCAAGUUCUCUCACUCGCUCACUCGCUCGCCCGCCGCGGCCGCCGUCGCCGCGAGUACUUUCACCCAAUGCCCCAUUUCAUUUUUACGCGCGAUCACCGUCGCUGACUUGUGUUGUACCACCGCGCCUGCCUCCGCACCUCCACCGACGAACGAACGACGUCGUAGCCCAACCCGAAUGCUGUUACGAGAGCAUAAUUACGAACCGAUGCGCACUAUAUAACCGAGCAAAGAGGUUAGGGAGGGCUCAAGAUGAUAGGCGCGUUACUGAUAAAAAUGAAAGCAUCCUGGCUGUGGAAGUGCAGAGACGUGGCGGCUCGUUUAAAAGAGCGAGAGGAGCUGAGUGAGAUAGAUAUUACAAAGCAAAAGGAGGGAUAUGGUGGGUGGGAGAGAGCAACAUCAUCAACUUGCUUACAAACUGACAAUCGUGCUUACGUACAGGAUGCCUCAAAAGCCGUUUGGCUUCUUUCGGAGUCUUAAUUAAAUUUUAUUUGCACGGCGUGUUGCAAGCGCAAGUGCGUGCACCAUGUCGCGUCGCAAGACGAGAAAGUAGCCGAAUAGAUGUGAACCGGUUCGCGAUCUUUCUUACUCGUCAUUCUGCGCCACGCAAAGGAAAGAGAAGAGGGAGGAAGUAAAGAGAGAAAAAAGAGAAUGUGU
This is a non-coding RNA of Linepithema humile (Argentine ant), 870 nucleotides long. Lineage: Eukaryota; Metazoa; Arthropoda; Insecta; Hymenoptera; Formicidae. The record is from RefSeq and is a predicted model, not a curated record.